RNAcentral lists this non-coding RNA (174 nucleotides) under Deltaproteobacteria bacterium RBG_16_71_12. RNAcentral's name for it is "6S RNA". It matches the Rfam family "6S / SsrS RNA". Rfam says of the family: E. coli 6S RNA was the first non coding RNA to be sequenced, but its function was unknown until recently. Lineage: Bacteria; Deltaproteobacteria. The record is from RNAcentral.
GGCGAGCCGGAGGGUCGUCGGGAAAAAACUCUGAACCGUACUCAUGACUUCGGGAGCCGCUCCGUACGGGUUUGUGCAUGCUGCCUCGUCGCAGAAGCCUUCCCCCGUGCCCUUGUGCACCCACCUGGUUGAGCCAGGUUCGAGUCAUCGCCUGACGAACCCUCCGGCGUUUUU